GAUGAACGCUAGCUACAGGCUUAACACAUGCAAGUCGCGGGGCAGCAUGGGGGUUGCUUGCAAUCCCCGAUGGCGACCGGCGCACGGGUGAGUAACGCGUAUUCAACCUGCCCUUCACCACGGGAUAACCCGGCGAAAGUCGGACUAAUACCGUAUGUUGUCCAUUGACGGCAUCCGAUUUGGACGAAAGGCUUGGCGGUGAGGGAUGGGGAUGCGUCCGAUUAGCCAGACGGCGGGGUAACGGCCCACCGUGGCUACGAUCGGUAGGGGUUCUGAGAGGAAGGUCCCCCACACUGGAACUGAGACACGGUCCAGACUCCUACGGGAGGCAGCAGUGAGGAAUAGUGGUCAAUGGGCGUAAGCCUGAACCAGCCAAGUAGCGUGCAGGAUGACGGCCCUAUGGGGUGUAAACUGCUUUUAUGCGGGGAUAAAGUGGCCCACGUGUGGGCUUUUGCAGGUACCGCAUGAAUAAGGACCGGCUAAUUCCGU
Molecule: ribosomal RNA, 489 nt
Filed under: uncultured bacterium
Lineage: Bacteria
Description: partial 16S ribosomal RNA
Rfam family: Bacterial small subunit ribosomal RNA
Source: RNAcentral